AAACUUUCAACAACGGAUCUCUAGGCUCUUGCAUCGAUGAAGAACGCAGUGAAAUGCGAUAAGUAAUGUGAAUUGCAGAAUCUCAUGAAUCAUUGAAUCUUUGAACGCACAUUGCGCCCUAUGGUAUUCCGUAGGGCAUGCCUGUCUGAGCGUCA
Molecule: ribosomal RNA, 155 nt
Filed under: Terfezia aff. olbiensis TLO-3
Lineage: Eukaryota; Fungi; Ascomycota; Pezizomycetes; Pezizales; Pezizaceae
Description: 5.8S ribosomal RNA
Rfam family: 5.8S ribosomal RNA
About the family: 5.8S ribosomal RNA (5.8S rRNA) is a component of the large subunit of the eukaryotic ribosome. It is transcribed by RNA polymerase I as part of the 45S precursor that also contains 18S and 28S rRNA. Functionally, it is thought that 5.8S rRNA may be involved in ribosome translocation.
Source: RNAcentral